GAUGAACGCUGGCGGCGUGCCUAAUACGUGCAAGUCGAGCGAACGGACGAGAAGCUUGCUUCUCUGAUGUUAGCGGCGGACGGGUGAGUAACACGUGGAUAACCUACCUAUAAGACUGGGAUAACUUCGGGAAACCGGAGCUAAUACCGGAUAAUAUUUUGAACCGCAUGGUUCAAAAGUGAAAGACGGUCUUGCUGUCACUUAUAGAUGGAUCCGCGCUGCAUUAGCUAGUUGGUAAGGUAACGGCUUACCAAGGCAACGAUGCAUAGCCGACCUGAGAGGGUGAUCGGCCACACUGGAACUGAGACACGGUCCAGACUCCUACGGGAGGCAGCAGUAGGGAAUCUUCCGCAAUGGGCGAAAGCCUGACGGAGCAACGCCGCGUGAGUGAUGAAGGUCUUCGGAUCGUAAAACUCUGUUAUUAGGGAAGAACAUAUGUGUAAGUAACUGUGCACAUCUUGACGGUACCUAAUCAGAAAGCCACGGCUAACUACGUGCCAGCAGCCGCGGUAAUACGUAGGUGGCAAGCGUUAUCCGGAAUUAUUGGGCGUAAAGCGCGCGUAGGCGGUUUUUUAAGUCUGAUGUGAAAGCCCACGGCUCAACCGUGGAGGGUCAUUGGAAACUGGAAAACUUGAGUGCAGAAGAGGAAAGUGGAAUUCCAUGUGUAGCGGUGAAAUGCGCAGAGAUAUGGAGGAACACCAGUGGCGAAGGCGACUUUCUGGUCUGUAACUGACGCUGAUGUGCGAAAGCGUGGGGAUCAAACAGGAUUAGAUACCCUGGUAGUCCACGCCGUAAACGAUGAGUGCUAAGUGUUAGGGGGUUUCCGCCCCUUAGUGCUGCAGCUAACGCAUUAAGCACUCCGCCUGGGGAGUACGACCGCAAGGUUGAAACUCAAAGGAAUUGACGGGGACCCGCACAAGCGGUGGAGCAUGUGGUUUAAUUCGAAGCAACGCGAAGAACCUUACCAAAUCUUGACAUCCUUUGACAACUCUAGAGAUAGAGCCUUCCCCUUCGGGGGACAAAGUGACAGGUGGUGCAUGGUUGUCGUCAGCUCGUGUCGUGAGAUGUUGGGUUAAGUCCCGCAACGAGCGCAACCCUUAAGCUUAGUUGCCAUCAUUAAGUUGGGCACUCUAAGUUGACUGCCGGUGACAAACCGGAGGAAGGUGGGGAUGACGUCAAAUCAUCAUGCCCCUUAUGAUUUGGGCUACACACGUGCUACAAUGGACAAUACAAAGGGCAGCGAAACCGCGAGGUCAAGCAAAUCCCAUAAAGUUGUUCUCAGUUCGGAUUGUAGUCUGCAACUCGACUACAUGAAGCUGGAAUCGCUAGUAAUCGUAGAUCAGCAUGCUACGGUGAAUACGUUCCCGGGUCU
This 1372-nucleotide ribosomal RNA is filed under the name uncultured bacterium. RNAcentral describes it as "bacterial SSU rRNA". It matches the Rfam family "Bacterial small subunit ribosomal RNA", at positions 28 to 1381 of the family's 1533-position model. The record is from RNAcentral.